Molecule: non-coding RNA, 73 nt
Organism: Potamilus streckersoni
Lineage: Eukaryota; Metazoa; Mollusca; Bivalvia; Unionida; Unionidae
Source: the annotation of a GenBank genome assembly
GCUCAGGUGGCAUAGUGGUUAGAGUGUCCGCCUCGGAUUCGGGAGGUCGUGGGUUCUAUCCCUAGCCGAAUCA